CUCCUCUCUCCCACGCCCGUCAGCGCGCGGCUUGUCCACGCUGGUUUCUUACCUUAAUCAAGGUCACGGACACAGACUGGGUUGCGUCCUGACUCUGCCCCCAUCCAGCCUGUGGCCAGGGUAAUGCAGAAAACCAUUGAAAUACUCUUAGGUGUUUUGGAAGCAUUACUUAAAACAAGGGAGAAUGGAUGUCUCUCCCAGGACAGUUUCCAGGAAGGCACAUCUACUCAAAUGUUGCUAGGCUGCCUGGAUUUAGUGCCACUCCAUUGCUUGCUUCAGAAGAAGUCCUGAACUUGGUUCCACUUACCCAGAACACACAGGCAAAGAGAAGUCUUCAGGGAUGAGCACCUCGUGCAGAGGACUGGGGAGACCGGGAAGCCAGCAUCCUCAGCACAGAAUGCCACAUGCGGAGGCUCCCUUGCCACAGGCUCACCCCCUGCGCGGGGCAGGACAUCACACGGCUGCAAGGAAGGUGUCUGCAGACUGGACAAGGCCGAAAUCCCAUCCAUCCUUAGGGCUUCGUGGCCUGCCCUCAACUGUCCCCCUCUCUCCUGGAAUUGCUGCUCUUGGCUCACCACCACCACCACCACAAAUCAUUACCAGCCUUGGCUGGAGUCUCCCUGUUCUGCGAGGGCAGGAGUACCUGCACUGAUUCUUAUCUGAAGUAAAGACCACUA
Manis pentadactyla (Chinese pangolin) is the source of this 677-nucleotide long non-coding RNA. RefSeq lists it as uncharacterized. The transcript has 4 exons. NCBI's taxonomy places the organism in Eukaryota, Metazoa, Chordata, Mammalia, Pholidota, Manidae. The record is from RefSeq and is a predicted model, not a curated record.